Molecule: long non-coding RNA, 290 nt
Organism: Ornithodoros turicata
Lineage: Eukaryota; Metazoa; Arthropoda; Arachnida; Ixodida; Argasidae
Exons: 4
Source: RefSeq, a predicted model, not a curated record
AUGAACAGUACGUGGCCCACAAUUCAAAUCAUCUUUCUAUCCUGGCCACCUUACGGUACAGUAGUUACAAAGGCAGGAGGGAAGCUCAGCAUGGGUGGACCUAUUGGGAAUAUCCUAGACGAGCUCUCCAUCCAUAUGAAUUUCGAGUACGAAGGACGUCUACCUCACGACGGCCAUGUCGGCAUGCGCUUACCAAAUGGGUCGUGGACGGGAUGUGUCGGCUUCCUUCACCGUGGGGAAGUGGACAUGGUUUUCUUGCCCAUCAUCCAGUCGUACGAACGUAGUACUGU